Salvia hispanica is the source of this 201-nucleotide non-coding RNA. Lineage: Eukaryota; Viridiplantae; Streptophyta; Magnoliopsida; Lamiales; Lamiaceae. The record is from RefSeq and is a predicted model, not a curated record.
UGCCUUUUUUGAGAUUGAAUUUGGGAUUGUGAUAAUUAUUUUUUUGCUUUAUUAGACGGAUACUCUUUUUCCUUCAUGGUGUUUUUCCCUCUGGGUUUUUUGGCCAUGAAGAUUUUAAUAAGGUCCGGCCUUGAGUGAUCGUUAUGUGUUCUCCAAGGUUUACGUGUUGUUUUUUAUGAAUGACCAUAUGGCUUCUUUCAA